This is an RNA transcript of Mobula hypostoma (lesser devil ray), 1570 nucleotides long. It is a transcript of the gene named nucleoredoxin like 1, with no coding region annotated. The record is from RefSeq and is a predicted model, not a curated record. The transcript is spliced from 4 exons. Lineage: Eukaryota; Metazoa; Chordata; Chondrichthyes; Myliobatiformes; Myliobatidae.
GAGACUGGCUUGUGGAAAAAGGUCUUUUUACCAAUACAGGCAAACACCUCAUGUCCCAAAAUGGCCGGUGAUGAGCUUCUAAUGCGGUUAGGGUUCUGUAGAGCCUUGGUGACAGGCAAUGUGAAAGCAAACUGGGUGUGCGUUAAUGUGCAAAUACGAUCACUUAUUUGCAGCUGUUAAGACCGAGCACUGAGCUAGGCUCGUGGUGGUUAUAUUAAUAGAACCUACAGGCAGGAACAAAUGUAGCGGGGAGUGCAGAUAGGGAACCACGAUCAUCACACAGCCGUCCUUCAUGGAGAGACAGCAGCACUGGACUUUACCUGGAAACCUGGCUCCAUAAUCAGCGCACUAACAAUGUUCCAGCGUUAUGUGAAGAACCAACGAGACAGUAUCUGCUGUAGACCUGUUGCUUCAGUUGGCGAAUUGGAGCAACUCCCAAGUCAGCACUCAAACAGGAGCUGAUGUGCUUCAACACCAGCCUCUCAAAGCACUUCAUACUUGUGGAGUCCUCUCGAACUUGUAAUGACAAACACUUCAGCCAUCUGAUCCUUGAAUACACCCCAUGACUGAGAAUCCACAGCCCUCUGGGAUGGAGAAUCAGGCAGCCACAAGAAAUCCAAAGGAGCCCAUUAUAAAAAAAGACUAACAAACACCCAAUGUAGAGAGCGAGAGAAAAAACACAAAUUGUGCAAACAACAAAAGCAAGCAACAGCAUUCAGAACGAAAGUGAAUCCAUAGACCCAAAGCCCAGAACAGCCGGAGCAGGCCCACACCCUCCGCUGUGGAGAGCGGAGUAAAUAUCACGGAGGAGGGAGAAAGGAGCAAACUGGAAGGAGGACAGUGACGUUGGGAGAAGAAUCAAAAAAAUAGAGCCCGUCAUUACAGAGAAAUUAUCAAUAUGUCCUACAGGGAAUUUAGGAGAAAGGUGAACGAGUCCAGAGGCCUGAAGGCCAAAGCCCACAGGUCAAAGCCCCGAGGCCGGUGGAUCUGGAGGUUGGAGGUCCGAUCUUUGCAAGACUGGAGUCACAGUCUGAAGGUUAUAGGCCUGGAUGCAGCCUGUACUGGGGUUGGGGGCCCACUUUUGUGUGUGUAGGUGGGGGGGGGAGGGGUUUAUUUUGCUGUUAUUUGCUUGUUCUAUGUUGGUUGCCUGUUGGUCUGCUGAACAUCGUGGGCAUGCUGUGUGUUACGUAUGUAAUACUUUGGACACAAGUCGGGGGCUGAUCACCCCCGGCUGGGUCGACCGGGCGAGGGUGUCUGAUGAUUAAAGACCCGAAACACCCUCUAACCCCAGGUUCAUCACUGAAGGCGUGUCCAAGUAGCACCAGAGGUGUAUUCUACAACAACUGAGUAACCUUGGAUGUGUGUGUGUGUAUGUGUAUAUAUACUAUUUAAAUUAAUUAUGGGUUAUAUGUAAAGAUAUAUUAAUUGCAUACACCAUCACACUACCAUGUUACACAGCGCUCCUUGUUAAAAAUAAACUUAAAGUUUAACUUGCAUUCCCGGACUCCCGUGUUUUCUUUGACUUAACUUAAUGUUACGUUUUGAACUUCAAAACAUCGUGUUUUACACC